GAUGAAGAACGUAGCGAAAUGCGAUAAGUAGUGUGAAUUGCAGAAUUCCGUGAAUCAUCGAAUCUUUGAACGCACAUUGCGCCUCCUGGUAGUCCGGGAGGCAUGCCUGUUCGAGCGUCACCAAAUCCAACUCAAGCGGUUUUGCGCUUGGUCGUGGCGGAAGAGUCGGUCUGGUUGCCGUCUCCCCUCCGAAGAUCAACGGCGGAAAGUCACUGGCAGUCAGCGUAGUAGUAUCGUUCGCCGAACAUCCAGUGGCAUUCCUGCCGACGUACCCCCACAAUUCUCGUGAUUGACCUCGGAUCAGGUAGGGAUACCCGCUGAACUUAAGCAUAUCAAUAAGCGGAGGA
This 347-nucleotide unclassified non-coding RNA is filed under the name soil metagenome. Its description in RNAcentral is "partial contains 5.8S ribosomal RNA, internal transcribed spacer 2, and large subunit ribosomal RNA". The stretch from base 1 to 120 matches the Rfam family "5.8S ribosomal RNA", at positions 35 to 154 of the family's 154-position model. The record is from RNAcentral.